GUGGGGAAUAUUGGACAAUGGGCGCAAGCCUGAUCCAGCAAUGCCGCGUGGGUGAAGAAGGCCUUCGGGUUGUAAACUGCUUUUGUACGGAACGAAACGGUCCGGGUUAAUACCCUGGGCUAAUGACGGUACCGUAAGAAUAAGCACCGGCUAACUACGUGCCAGCAGCCGCGGUAAUACGUAGGGUGCAAGCGUUAAUCGGAAUUACUGGGCGUAAAGCGUGCGCAGGCGGUUUUGUAAGACAGGCGUGAAAUCCCCGGGCUCAACCUGGGAAUUGCGCUUGUGACUGCAAGGCUGGAGUGCGGCAGAGGGGGAUGGAAUUCCGCGUGUAGCAGUGAAAUGCGUAGAUAUGCGGAGGAACACCGAUGGCGAAGGCAAUCCCCUGGGCCUGCACUGACGCUCAUGCACGAAAGCGUGGGGAGCAAACAGGAUUAGAAACCCCUGUAGUCC
RNAcentral lists this ribosomal RNA (450 nucleotides) under uncultured bacterium. RNAcentral describes it as "partial 16S ribosomal RNA". It matches the Rfam family "Bacterial small subunit ribosomal RNA", at positions 354 to 796 of the family's 1533-position model. The record is from RNAcentral.